Pteropus alecto (black flying fox) is the source of this 585-nucleotide non-coding RNA. NCBI's taxonomy places the organism in Eukaryota, Metazoa, Chordata, Mammalia, Chiroptera, Pteropodidae. The record is from the annotation of a RefSeq genome assembly.
UCAGAGCCUUGAAACUGAAGAACAAGAAGAUAUUUUCUGUCUAGUGAAAGAACACGAACAUGUUGCUCUCCAGAUUUCUGGAGGUGGUCAUAGCUUCAGUGUGGCUAGGAUCCAGUAUUGCCCAGAAGGUAACUCAAGGCCAACGGGCAAUGUUAGUGCAGGAGAAGGAGGCCGUGACCCUGGACUGCAGAUAUGACACCAGUGUUACAAGUUAUACCUUAUUCUGGUACAAACAACCCAGCAGUGGGGGGAUGAUUUUCCUUAUUCGUCAGGACUCUUACAGCAAGCAAAAUGCCACAGAAGGUCGCUACUCGUUGAAUUUUCAGAAAGCAAAGAACUCCAUCAACCUUGUCAUCUCAGCUGCACAGCUGGAGGACUCCGCAUUGUAUUUCUGUGCCUUGAGUGAGCCCACAGUGAGAAGUGUGUGGGAGGAAGGUAUACCAAAACCCCAGGGCUCUGCCUGAUGCAUUACCUGCUGUAGGGACCAAGGCUGAGAAUUGCCAUCACCGACAGGAAGUAGUGAGGGCUGUGGCAGCACAGGUGUCAGUAGAGUCUGAGAGAAUACACUCUAAGAAAAUACUUAUC